UCAAACUUGGUCAUUUAGAGGAAGUAAAAGUCGUAACAAGGUUUCCGUAGGUGAACCUGCGGAAGGAUCAUUAUCGUGAAGCAGCUUGUUUUUCAAGCCUGCCCACCCUCUGUGUAUCUUCUGGUUGCUUUGGCAGGCCGUGGGGAGACUCACCGUCGGCUUUGGCUGAUGAGUGCCUGCCAGAAGACCGCCAACUUCGUUUGAAUGAUGUCGUCAGAUGAACAAGCAAAUGGAACAAAACUUUCAACAACGGAUCUCUUGGUUCCGGCAUCGAUGAAGAACGCAGC
This 287-nucleotide unclassified non-coding RNA is filed under the name uncultured fungus. Its description in RNAcentral is "partial contains small subunit ribosomal RNA, internal transcribed spacer 1, and 5.8S ribosomal RNA". The stretch from base 1 to 73 matches the Rfam family "Eukaryotic small subunit ribosomal RNA", at positions 1759 to 1831 of the family's 1831-position model. The record is from RNAcentral. Lineage: Eukaryota; Fungi.